GUGAACCUGCUGAUGUAUUUAUUUGCACUCAUGUAGUAAUUUACUGUCAUGAAAGCUAAAUUGUGACUUGACUUUUUCCUCUCUCAGUUGUUGGCUCAUGACAGAUUUAUUUGAUAAGUGGAAGUGCCCGCUGAUGCAGACCCAGUGUAAGUAUACAUGCUGGCAUUGUUUUUGUGACAUUUAAUCUCAUCUAAAUCAUCAUGUUUUUGAACAGUGUUGGGUAGCCAGCCACCCAUGCAUGUUGACACAGCCAGCAGCGGGCACCCAUGGCACAUGGGGAUGGACCCAGGAGUGGAGGAUGACCCAAUAGGAUGAACGUUCAGCCCACUCACUGUUGACACCAGUGACACAGUAUUGACCAGAUCUCCUGGAAGUGCCCCCUGACGCAGACCCAGUUGUUGGGUAGCCACCCAUGCACGUUGACACAGCCAGCACCGAGCACCCAGGGGGAUAGAACCAGGAAUGGAGGAUG
Long non-coding RNA from Engraulis encrasicolus (European anchovy), 472 nucleotides. RefSeq lists it as uncharacterized. The record is from RefSeq and is a predicted model, not a curated record. The transcript is spliced from 3 exons. NCBI's taxonomy places the organism in Eukaryota, Metazoa, Chordata, Actinopteri, Clupeiformes, Engraulidae.